This is a long non-coding RNA of Eriocheir sinensis (Chinese mitten crab), 4068 nucleotides long. RefSeq lists it as uncharacterized. The record is from RefSeq and is a predicted model, not a curated record. The transcript has 2 exons. Lineage: Eukaryota; Metazoa; Arthropoda; Malacostraca; Decapoda; Varunidae.
CUUCCUUCCUUUUCUCUCUUCUUCCUUUCUAACUGUACCUAACUAGGCUCUCUCCUCUGCCUUGUUUCCUCCAUAUCUCCCUCCCUCGGAAAUUGAACCACCCAAACAAAAACAAACACACACACACCUUCCCUUCUUCCUUCCUUCCUUUCUACCUUCUUCCUUCCUAACUAUACCUAACUAGGCUCUCUCCUCUUCCUUGUUUCCUCCAUACAUCCCUUUCUUCCUCCCUCCCUCCCUCGGAAAAUGACCCACUCAAACACACACACACAAGGCUUUCGUAGAGGUUUGGGGCAUUUCCAGGGGUAGUUUGAUGGCCAUAGUGGUAGUGUGACCCUUCUUCUGUACCAUGAAUGUGAAAAAAAAACUCAUGAAAACCCGACUGAUCUCCUUUUCGGCCUUUGGAAAUAUGUGACAUGAGAGGAGGAAGCAUCUGAGAAUACAAAUGGUCUCAGAGGGAAGGGAUAAUCAUACAAAUUUUUAGCUUUCUCUCCACAUAGUUAUAUUCACCCUACACUGUGGCGGCUACUUUUCCUCCACUCUACAUAUACAGUAAUGCCGAUAACACUGUGGUUACUAUAUUUGUUCCACCCACAGUAACGCUGGUGCCAUAGAGGGCCACUUUCACAGUCUGCCAUGAUGGGUUAGUAAUCUCCCGAACCGAUACCAAAGACUUCAAAAUUUCCUUGUAGCAACAUAUAUAGUGUUUGGUGUUCGUAUUUUAACCUGGUAGCAGCAGGGAUCAUGUUUCUUAUUGGUCCCUCUAAGCGAGAAAAAAUGAGAAAAAAUCAUUGCUCACACAAACCAUUUCAUAAUAUAUAUCAAAGCAUUUGUGAUCAGUAUAUGUAUCAUCUAUUUUGAGGGAUUUAUACCAUGGCACAAAUUUGGCCCGUCGCUGCUACACAGUAAAGCCACAAAUCUGGCCUGUUGCUGCUACCGGGUUAAGUUCAGAAAUUUGAGGAAAAUAUAGCAGGCAACCUCUUAUAAUUGUGUAUCUGGUGCUGCCUCAAAAACCUCACCAUCCUCUUUCUUAACAUUUUUCUAUCAUUUCAAAUCUAUUUGCUACAUUGAUUCUCCUUUUUGCACUUUUUUUUAUUUUCUUCUAUCAUUUCCACUCUUCUUCACAUUAACUUUUUCAUCCACUUUUUGCCUCACCAUCCACUUUCAUAGCAUUUCUCUAUCAUUUCCAAUUAAUUCUACUUUUUACAUAUUUUUUUUAAUUUUCCUCUAUCAUUUCCACUCUUUUCUUCACACUUAACUUUUUCAUCCACUUUCUCAACAUUUUUCUGUCAUUUCCGAUCUAUUUGCUACAUUAAUUCUCCCUUUUGCACAUUUUUCUAAUUUUCUUCUACCAAUCUUUUCUUCACACUAACUUUUUCAUUCACUUUUUAACCCAUCCCCUGCAAUUGGCACAGAUUUGGCUUUCAUUGGUAGCCUGGUAACAUUUACUCCCAGGUCUGUGGUGGAUAGUGGAGUCUUUCCCAUGUGGUAUUGGUAUGCUGGAUAUCCCCUCCCAAGGUGCAGGACUUUACAUUUUUCUUCACUAAAUUUUUUGUUCCAUUCCUGUAGCUUGGUGAUGUCUUCUGUUAGGAAAUCCACAGUCAAGGGGUUAAAGAUUGUAUGGGAUUGCGAAGACACCGUGUCGGACUGUGGAAAUGGCUCUUAUUAGACAACCAGCACACACUUUGAUUGACUCUCUCCUUGGAAUGUGAUGACCAACAAUGGCUAAUGGACGGAGUCUACACAUCUGACUGACCAAGGCAGUGUCUGAGAGAUCAUUGUAUACUGAGUAAAAUAUGUAUAAGUAUAGAUUUUUCGUACACACACACACACCUUCCUUCUUCCUUCCCCCUUCUUCCUACCUAACUAUACAUAACUAAGCUCACUCCUCUUCUUUGUUUCCUUCUUAUCUCCCUCUCUUCCUCCCUCCCUUGGGAAAUCACACACACACACACACACACACACACCUUCCCUUCUUCCUUCUUUCCUAACUAAGCUCACUCCUCUUCUUUGUUUCCUCCCUAUCUCCCUCUCUUCCUACCUCCCUUGGGAAAUCACACACACACACACACACUGAUAAACCACACAAUUUUUUCUCAAUAAUUUAUGAGUGUAAUAAAACCAUGAUGUUAUGAAUUGUAUGAGAAAGAGACAGACAAAUAGAUAAAUAGAUAAAAAGAUAGAUAUAUAUAGAGAGAGAGCAAAAACUAUUAAACUAUACCAUAUGAAGCACACCAUAGAAACCACUUUCCCUAAAAAAAGUGCAUUGUGCAAAUCAGAAAAACAAAAAAAGUCAGUGAGAACAAAAUAUUAGUAAACUAGGUGAGAUAAAUCAUGCAGAGAACAAUUACAAAAACCUCAAUCACCCUACCAACCAGUAACUCUCUACACCCCACCCUGCCACCCUGCCCCCAUCCCCCUCCCUCUAUAUAAGGACUACUGAACCCUCUAUCACAAGGAAUUCCAUCCCAUCUUGCCCUCCAUUGAGUCUCUUCACCUACAGCAACCUUUUGUGCAUGUGAAAGGGUGUUUAUACUCUGUUCCGACAACCAUGUAAAAAAACUGGACUGCAGAAAUGUUAUCCGAAGACCACAUUGACGAAAAAGUGAAACGGGUUCUGUAUGAGUGCUGGAAAUGGGAAAAGCAGCGGACUAAAACCUUUCAAGAGGAGAGUAUCAGGCCACCUCUCCUCCCGAAACUGACCUCUCUUUUGACCACUCCUCUUUUCUCUUUUAUAUAGGAGCAGUGAUUAGUGAGCUUUUUUUCAUUGUUUUCUUUUUCUUUUUGCCCUUGAGCUGUUUCCUUUGCAGUAAAAAAACAAAACAAAAACACCUUAGAGUAGAGAAAAGGAAGCAAAGGGGAGGCGUUGCAAAGGCUAUCUCCCCGACCAUCAACUGAACUGAACUUGUCUUGUUUAUAGAUCGUAAUGUUUGUAACCCUAUCCACUCCUCUUUGAUAGGCCUAUACCUCUACCUUAUUAUUAUCUUCCUUUACCCUUGAGCUACAGCUGUGCGAGGCCUUAGUGCUCACCUCCAUCACCUUGAGCCUGUCCAUGGUGGGAGUUAGAACAGUUAAUUAUCAAUGCAAAGGAAAUCUAACUGAGGAACUUCAUUAAGGGUUCAUCGGCCACAGUUAUUGAUCUAAGUAAGUAUUAGUCUAAGUAAAAUUGCAUGAGAGAGUGCAUGACGACCCCCAUUCUAAUAUCCUUACCAAGAUAACUGGACACCGGACUUGCUUUUCAGACAACAGAGGGAUAAGGACAAAAGUAAUUGAUGCCCCAGAAACUCUAGAACUGAGGUACAUACAUAAAAAAAGUGGGUGAAUCCUUUUCCAGCAUCCUUACCAAGAGAACUGAACACCACACAAUUGCUUUUCAGACAACAGAGGGAUGACAAUGGAUGAGAUUUACUGCAUCGAACACCCUAGGACAUACUGCAUAAUGAGAGAGAAGAGUCCUGUCCUAACAACCUUACCAAGAGAACUGGACACCGGAUUUGCAAUUCGAACAACAAAGGGAUGAAAAUGGAUGUGAUACACUGCAUCGAACACCCUCAUAAAAAGAUAAAGGAGACGAGUCCUAUCCUAACAACCUCACCAAGAGAACUGGACACCGGAUUUGCCUUUCAGACAACAGAGGGAUGAAUAGAAAGUGAUUUUCAGCUUCAGAAAAAAGUGUAGGACACACUGCAUAAAAAAAAAGGUCAAGCCUUUUGCCAACAAUCUUAUGAGAAAAAUGGACACCCACCAGACUUGCUCUAUGGACAUCACACAGAGAAGAAGACACAGAGACAAGGAUGGAGAAAGUGAAAGACAGUCUACACAAGAUAAAAGAAGAGAUGUGAGAGAAACACUGAGCGACUGCCACACACAAGAAUAGACAAAAAAUAAAGAAAAAACAAUACAUUGAAAGCUGCUGAAAAGGCUAUCUUACCAACCCUCCAAUGAACCCUAAAUUAUUACUAUUAUUAUUGAGAUUCAUGAAAGGGCAUCAAGGGAAAAAAAUAACUGAAAUAGACCCAAAAAGAGUACCCAUGACAUGAACAAAAUAAGACAGUGAUAUUAAAGUAA